Molecule: ribosomal RNA, 466 nt
Filed under: uncultured bacterium
Lineage: Bacteria
Description: partial 16S ribosomal RNA
Rfam family: Bacterial small subunit ribosomal RNA
Source: RNAcentral
GAUGAACGCUGGCGGCGUGCUUAACACAUGCAAGUCGAACGAUGAAGCCCAGCUUGCUGGGUGGAUUAGUGGCGAACGGGUGAGUAACACGUGAGUAACCUGCCCUUAACUCUGGGAUAAGCCUGGGAAACUGGGUCUAAUACCGGAGAGGAGCGUCCACCGCAUGGGGGGUGUUGGAAAGAUUUAUCGGUUUUGGAUGGACUCGCGGCCUAUCAGCUUGUUGGUGGGGUAAUGGCUCACCAAGGCGCCGACGGGUAGCCGGCCUGAGAGGGUGACCGGCCACACUGGGACUGAGACACGGCCCAGACUCCUACGGGAGGCAGCAGUGGGGAAUAUUGCACAAUGGGCGCAAGCCUGAUGCAGCAACGCCGCGUGAGGGAUGACGGCCUUCGGGUUGUAAACCUCUUUCAGUAGGGAAGAAGCGAAAGUGACGGUACCUGCAGAAGAAGCACCGGCUAACUACGUG